AACGAACGCUGGCGGCGUGGAUUAGGCAUGCAAGUCGAACGCGAAAGAGGGGGCAACUCCUCUAGUAGAGUGGCGAACGGGUGAGUAACAUAUCGGAACGUAUCCAAUAAUGGGGGAUAACUAAUCGAAAGGUUGGCUAAUACCGCAUACGCCCUGAGGGGGAAAGCUAGGGAUCUUCGGACCUGGCGUUAAUGGAGCGGCCGAUAUCUGAUUAGCUAGUUGGUGGGGUAAAGGCCCACCAAGGCGACGAUCAGUAGCUGGUCUGAGAGGACGACCAGCCACACUGGAACUGAGACACGGUCCAGACUCCUACGGGAGGCAG
RNAcentral lists this ribosomal RNA (322 nucleotides) under uncultured Pseudomonadota bacterium. Its description in RNAcentral is "bacterial SSU rRNA". It matches the Rfam family "Bacterial small subunit ribosomal RNA", at positions 29 to 351 of the family's 1533-position model. The record is from RNAcentral. Lineage: Bacteria; Pseudomonadati; Pseudomonadota.